This 1058-nucleotide long non-coding RNA is filed under the name Pan troglodytes (chimpanzee). RNAcentral describes it as "long non-coding RNA NONPTRT014541". Lineage: Eukaryota; Metazoa; Chordata; Mammalia; Primates; Hominidae. The record is from RNAcentral.
AAAAGGGCAAAGAGCCCACUUUGGUACACCUGGAGUAGAUUACACACAUGGGGUUGAUCUUUCCCUUGAAGCCAAAAAGCUCUGGUAAUGUGCUCUCCACAGUACAUGAUAGAGCAGGGUAAAGCUGGAAAUUAAUCACCCAGUGCUACCAAGGCAGUUCAUUACAUGCAAUUGACAGCUUCCUCUCUGUAUUUUUAGAUGGCUAAGAAUCAAGUAGUUGCACAUCAAAAUGUGGUUUUUUUCUUGCUUCUUGGCACAGGACCCGUAUCUGUCAUCAUUUCAUGUCCUCAAAGGCCUGAGAGGAGCUGCCAUCCUUGGGCAACAAAGGAUGCCAUGCAAAGCAGCUCAGAACUUGAGUUGUUUCAACAGAUGCUGUUUUAUGUUUUGCCAAAGAAUGGCCCCUUUUAUUUCUGUCAUGAAUGCAGUCUUUCUUUCAGUUUCUAAAUGUUUUCCAGUAUUAACCCUAAUCCUUAUCUGUCAUUCUUUUAGGAUGAUGGGCUGUCCCUUUUCCUUUGGAACCAGCAUAACCUUCACCAUGUAAAUAUGGAUUGCAAAGAAAUGGAAACGUGGUGCUGUUCACCUUACAGCUCCUGAUGAUUUCUUACAGUGGGGGAGAGGCGGAUUGCACUUCAAGGUCAGAGUAGCUGAGCCAAGUUAUUCCAGUGUAUGAGUGAAAUCAUUCAUUUUUCACUGAACGCUUACUUCAUGCUGGGACCUAAGCAACAACUGUGGCGACAAUGGACUUAUUGGUAAUUUACUAUGUGCAGACACUCUCCUCACCUUUUGACAGAGAACAUUGAUUAGAUGACCAAAAGUGCCCGGCCCUUUGCCAAGUGUGAUAGAAAACAGGGAGAAGGUAUCAUCACUGUUUCACAGAUGCCUACAUUCCAAAGGAUCUCAUCAGAGCAUAAGAGCUCUUCCAGGUUAACAUAUGUGUUUCUAUGCCUGACUCUCAACCUUGGACCUGUACCUCUGCAAUCACUUGGCCCUGGAUGGAUGAGGGAGGGUGGCAUGUGAAUAGAAACUGGACCACGGAGACCACCAAGGAAUGAUGUGCC